AAUCAACGCUGGCGGCGCGCUUAACACAUGCAAGUCGAACGAGAAAGGGGAGCAAUCCCUGAGUACAGUGGCGUACGGGUGAGUAACACGUGGGUCAUCCACCUCUUGGUGGGGAAUAACCCUGGGAAACCGGGGCUAAUACCGCAUAAGCUCGAGAGAGGAAAGGCGAAAGUCGCCGAGAGAGGAGCCCGCGGCCGAUUAGCUAGUUGGUAGGGUAAUGGCCUACCAAGGCGAUGAUCGGUAGCCGGCCUGAGAGGGCACACGGCCACACUGGCAC
Molecule: ribosomal RNA, 277 nt
Filed under: uncultured bacterium
Lineage: Bacteria
Description: partial 16S ribosomal RNA
Rfam family: Bacterial small subunit ribosomal RNA
Source: RNAcentral